GAGGACAGGGUGUUCUUCCAGUAGGACCUAACGAGGCACCAUUUCAAAAGCAGAGAGAGCAGCCCGCAUGGACACUGAACCUGCCAGCACCUUGAUCUUUGACCUCCAGCCUCCAGAACUAUAUUCCAAGAAGCACCCUGGGACUGGAAGACACACCCUUUCACCUGGGAGCCAGUGAAAAGUUAGUGUGCCAGACUAAGAGGUCCCCAGGGAUUGCAAGCACAGCACAGCAGGCCACAUUUCUGAAUCCAGUUGUCUUCAGGCUUGGCUGCAGAUGACAUAUUGCUGGGCCUCCCUCCUUCCAGGAGCUGCUGCCCAUGGCAUUUCAGGGAAGAGCCUGUCAGCAGAAGCAUCUUUGGGCACUGUUUAGCAUAGCUAUUGUGGAGAAUGUGCCUAGGUUAGCCUGCUGGAGGGAUGUGAGAAAUUCAUGGAGGAGAGCUGAGUCACCCAGGUGACAGCAAACUAACUCCCAGAUGUGUGUGCCACAGAAAAUAGCUGGUCAACUCCAAGACCUGUGAAGUGAGCCCAGCUGAGACCGGGAGAACUGCCCAGUGUGGUCUACAUAGCCAACCUACAAACUCAUAAGCUAAAUAAA
Molecule: long non-coding RNA, 595 nt
Organism: Lemur catta (Ring-tailed lemur)
Lineage: Eukaryota; Metazoa; Chordata; Mammalia; Primates; Lemuridae
Exons: 4
Source: RefSeq, a predicted model, not a curated record